GCAGACAGCUGGGGCGCGACGCAACUUAAGGAGGGUCUGUCAGUGUCAUCAGUGGGGGAGGGGCCUGCCCUGCUCGCCCUAAUUGAAUAUUGUGGGCCAGGAGAGAUGACCAAGAACUGCUGCACGGAUUUUUCUUUCACAGACCCUGCAAGAGUCUCACCAAUAGUGCUUCACAAAGUACUGACACAGGCAGCCUCUGCGACGCCACUGGACGUGACGUCAUCUCCAGAGUAAACAGCCAGGAAAUGAACCCUCUCAGCAAGCAGAGCAGAGCGCGCAGGCUGUUCUGGAGAGGAAAUGCGCGCGCCCUUUUCCAGUAAAGCUGUCCAAACAGCCGCGAGGCGCGGAUCCAGGGUGAACCAGAGGACACCGCUUCGGGCAGCGGGCCUCGCCCGGCACUCUCUCUACCCGCUGGAGCUACUUCACUCCAGUCACCACUGGGAUACAUUAUUAUUAUCUUGAUGAAGACGGAGACAUUUUUUUUUAAGCGAAGGAGAGAGAAACGCAUUCGGACUUUCAUGUGUGUGUUACAGGAUAAUUUAAAUGUAAUCAACGAACAGCUAUUUAUUAUUAUUACUAUUAAUAAUGAUAAUAAUAACAAUGCUUUUCAUAUAUGCUGAAAUAGAAAAAAAAAUUACACCGAAAACAGGCAUUUUCAAAUAAUUCAAAACGAUAUCAUGCAUGACAAAAUGUUAAACCUCGAGUUGGGGCGUGUGGCAUAUAGCCUAUAAAUAUAGGCUACAGGUAUAAGAUGACUAAUGCCACAAUAUUCUCUGAUCUUUUCAAGAACAACGCUUCUUGUUGUACUCAAUUAACUAUGUGAACCAGUUCAGAUUCUUAGAACCAAAACGAGGGCGUGAAAUUAUUCUCGGUGUGAAUGAAACUUGAAAAAUGAGGUGUAUUUCUUAGAAUGAUUCAAAUGAGAAAGGAUUUUGGAACAUUUUACCUCGAGUACAGAUUAUGUUUUCGGUAAUGCUUUAGCUUCAGUAACAAGAAAAAGAUAUGAAGGUACUCUGUCAAUUGAGUGAGAGAGAUGCUUAUCCGUGUGAUCGCUGUUCACCUCCGCUCUCUUAACGGCGGCAUCGCCAGGCCCACACCGCCUCCAUUUGGAUGCUACUGUUUUCGGUUACUCUGCUUUAAACAACAUCAAAUGUAGUGCUCUUAUGGCGUAUUUUACCAAAUAAAUCCAUUGACAGUU
Oncorhynchus mykiss (rainbow trout) is the source of this 1198-nucleotide long non-coding RNA. RefSeq lists it as uncharacterized. The record is from RefSeq and is a predicted model, not a curated record. NCBI's taxonomy places the organism in Eukaryota, Metazoa, Chordata, Actinopteri, Salmoniformes, Salmonidae.